UCCUACGGGACGCAGCAGUGGGGAAUAUUGCACAAUGGGCGAAAGCCUGAUGCAGCGACGCCGCGUGAGUGAAGAAGUAUUUCGGUAUGUAAAGCUCUAUCAGCAGGGAAGAAAAUGACGGUACCUGACUAAGAAGCCCCGGCUAACUCCGUGCCAGCAGCCGCGGUAAUACGGAGGAUGCGAGCGUUAUCCGGAUUUAUUGGGUUUAAAGGGUGCGCAGGCGGUCUGUUAAGUCAGCGGUCAAAGCCCGGGGCUCAACCCCGGCCCGCCGUUGAAACUGGCAGUCUCGAGUUGGAGAGAAGAAG
This 305-nucleotide ribosomal RNA is filed under the name uncultured bacterium. Its description in RNAcentral is "bacterial SSU rRNA". It matches the Rfam family "Bacterial small subunit ribosomal RNA", at positions 337 to 660 of the family's 1533-position model. The record is from RNAcentral.